Molecule: ribosomal RNA, 508 nt
Filed under: uncultured bacterium
Lineage: Bacteria
Description: partial 16S ribosomal RNA
Rfam family: Bacterial small subunit ribosomal RNA
Source: RNAcentral
AUUGAACGCUGGCGGCAUGCCUUACACAUGCAAGUCGAACGGCAGCGGGGGAGAAGCUUGCUUUUCCUGCCGGCGAGUGGCGAACGGGUGAGUAAUACAUCGGAACGUGCCCUGUAGUGGGGGAUAACUAGUCGAAAGAUUAGCUAAUACCGCAUACGACCUGAGGGUGAAAGUGGGGGACCGCAAGGCCUCAUGCUAUAGGAGCGGCCGAUGUCUGAUUAGCUAGUUGGUAGGGUAAAGGCCUACCAGGGCGACGAUCAGUAGCUGGUCUGAGAGGACGAUCAGCCACACUGGGACUGAGACACGGCCCAGACUCCUACGGGAGGCAGCAGUGGGGAAUUUUGGACAAUGGGCGAAAGCCUGAUCCGGCAAUGCCGCGUGUGUGAAGAAGGCCUUCGGGUUGUAAAGCACUUUUGUCCGGAAAGAAAUGGCUCUGGUUAAUACCUGGGGUCGAUGACGGUACCGGAAGAAUAAGGACCGGCUAACUACGUGCCAGCCGCCGCCGUAA